CAGCCGCCGCGGGAAUACGGAGGGUGCGAGCGUUAUUCGGAAUUACUGGGCGUAAAGCGCACGCAGGCGGUUGCCCAAGUCAGAUGUGAAAGCCCCGGGCUUAACCUGGGAACUGCAUUUGAAACUGGGCGACUAGAGUAUGAAAGAGGAAAGCGGAAUUUCCAGUGUAGCAGUGAAAUGCGUAGAUAUUGGAAGGAACACCGAUGGCGAAGGCAGCUUUCUGGGUCGAUACUGACGCUCAUGUGCGAAAGCGUGGGGAGCAAACAGGAUUAGAUACCCCGGUAGUCCCUGUCUCUUAUAC
This 301-nucleotide ribosomal RNA is filed under the name uncultured bacterium. RNAcentral's name for it is "partial 16S ribosomal RNA". It matches the Rfam family "Bacterial small subunit ribosomal RNA", at positions 509 to 807 of the family's 1533-position model. The record is from RNAcentral.